Molecule: small nuclear RNA, 157 nt
Filed under: Zea mays
Lineage: Eukaryota; Viridiplantae; Streptophyta; Magnoliopsida; Poales; Poaceae
Description: U2 spliceosomal RNA
Rfam family: U2 spliceosomal RNA
About the family: U2 is a small nuclear RNA (snRNA) component of the spliceosome (involved in pre-mRNA splicing).
Source: Rfam by way of RNAcentral
ACCUUUUCUCGGCAUUUUGGCUAAGAUAAGGUGUAAUAUUUGUUCUUGUCAGUUUAAUAUCUUAUAUAUAAACCAUUUGUUCACUCUGAUAUUAAUUUUUUUAAUUUUAUGGGUAUCAAAUAUAAUUUUGUGUCGUCGCAACGCGCGUGCAUUGUAC